RNAcentral lists this long non-coding RNA (273 nucleotides) under Ananas comosus (pineapple). RNAcentral's name for it is "long non-coding RNA (ACOM_LNC038610)". Lineage: Eukaryota; Viridiplantae; Streptophyta; Magnoliopsida; Poales; Bromeliaceae. The record is from RNAcentral.
UCCAAACUCGUUGAACUUCUCUCUAUGCCUAAUGUGUCAUUCAAUUGAGCAUAUGUUAUAUACUUGUUGCAUGCAUUUUAGGGUAAAGUGAUGAUAAAAAUGUGAUGUUGCAUGAUUGUGAGUACAACUUGCUUAAUGUGAUGGUCGAGGACCUUAUGAAUGUUAAAACCCUAUAUGUAUGCAUGAGAGAAAAUGUGAGUACCAAAGUGAGCCAAAAGAACCGAGUGGCACGAUGACAUAGAUCGAGUGGCAUUUGAAAAUGUAAAGUGACAC